RNAcentral lists this ribosomal RNA (200 nucleotides) under uncultured bacterium. Its description in RNAcentral is "partial 16S ribosomal RNA". It matches the Rfam family "Bacterial small subunit ribosomal RNA", at positions 1302 to 1500 of the family's 1533-position model. The record is from RNAcentral.
AGUCUGCAACUCGACUACAUGAAGCUGGAAUCGCUAGUAAUCGCGGAUCAGAAUGCCGCGGUGAAUACGUUCCCGGGUCUUGUACACACCGCCCGUCACACCAUGGGAGCUGGUAACGCCCGAAGCCUGUGACCCAACCUAAUAGGAGGGAGCAGUCGAAGGUGGGACCGGUGACUGGGGUGAAGUCGUAACAAGGUAGC